UGAGAGUAUCACACAGAUUCGACUCUUAAUUUAUUUGAAGAGAGAUUUUAUCCUCUCCCACCUCAUCAUACAUGCAUGUGUGUGCGCACGCACACACACACACACACACACACACACACAUUUUCUCCUUACAGUGCAUGGGUAUCCCUGUUAUAUCAUUCUUAAGGGAGGGAAAUAGUACAAAUAUGACUCACAGUCAAGUUAGAAACUUAAAAAUGGCAUAGAUAAUGAAAUAAUUAUAAGAACAAUUCCUUUUAGGGGCGCUGGGUGGUUCAGUCGGUUAGGCGUCUUGACUUUGACUCAGGUCAUGAUCUUGCAGUUUGUUGUGGGUUCAAGCCCUGUGAAGGACUCUCGGUGCUGACAGCUCAGAGUCUGAAGCCUGCUUUGGAUUCUGUGUGUGUGUGUGUGUUGUGUGUGUGUGUGUGUGUGUGUGUCUGCCCCUCCCCCACUUGUUCUCUCUCUCUCUCUCUCUCUCUCUCUCUCAAAAAUAAAUAAACAUUAUUUUUUUUAAAAAAGAGCAAUGCCUCUUAACACAGAUUUCCCCAUUUCCCUUUCUCUCUCACACAAGUCUUGCACAAGUGAAUUCAUGCAGGUGAAACAUGUAAAACUUAAAGCAUUAAACCAACUCUCACGAUCACAUAGGAAGCUUGCUUAAAGCUGGUGUUUCAGUAUGACAUUUAUGAAUUGACUGCCAGUCAUGGCACAAACUGCCAGUCAAGCAAAACUGAGCUGGUCGAGUCCACUCACAGUGCGUGGAACCAUCAUUCAUCUGGGAAGACAACCCCAAUCCGGGCACCGGUUUUCCACCUCAGAGAGAGGAUCUCCAGCUUCUUUCUCAUGUGGCUCGUCAAGCCCAUCGAAACCAGGAAGAUCAGAGCCCUGACCUAGAAGUACUUUGGAGGGACGGCUGCCGUUUUGCUUUCUCCUUUAAGAAGCAAAUUCAAAAUUCUCAACUUGCCUGAGCAAACGAACAAGAAAUGGGAAGAUUUAGGGCACACUGUGUGAUACGUAUAUGCUGAGAUGGCCCUGAAUUUCCCUGUGCAAAUGAAUCUACUGGGUCAAAUCAUGAACCCAGCUUCCGAAGAAGGAGCACAAGCAUUUUUCCUCCAAAUAAAAAUCCGUUUUGCUUUAAUCA
Molecule: long non-coding RNA, 1135 nt
Filed under: Felis catus (domestic cat)
Lineage: Eukaryota; Metazoa; Chordata; Mammalia; Carnivora; Felidae
Description: lncRNA (ENSFCAG00000047191.1)
Source: RNAcentral